GAUCCUGGCUUAGGAUGAACGCUGGCGGCGUGCUUAACACAUGCAAGUCGAACGAAGCCAAAAGGAAGCUUGCUUUCUUGAAGCUUAGUGGCGGACGGGUGAGUAACGCGUGAGUAACCUGCCCUUCAGUGGGGAAUAACACAGAGAAAUCUGUGCUAAUACCGCAUAACGUCUUCUUGCCGCAUGACAGGAAGACCAAAGGAUUUAUUCGCUGAAGGAUGGACUCGCGUCCGAUUAGCUAGUUGGUGAGGUAACGGCCCACCAAGGCGACGAUCGGUAGCCGAACUGAGAGGUUGAUCGGCCACAUUGGGACUGAGACACGGCCCAGACUCCUACGGGAGGCAGCAGUGGGGAAUAUUGGGCAAUGGGCGAAAAAGCCUGACCCAGCAACGCCGCGUGAAGGAAGACGGUCUUCGGAUUGUAAACUUCUUUGAUUGGGGAAGAAACAAAUGACCUACCCAAAGAACAAGUCACGGCUAACUACGUGCCAGCAGCGGC
This 498-nucleotide ribosomal RNA is filed under the name uncultured bacterium. RNAcentral describes it as "bacterial SSU rRNA". It matches the Rfam family "Bacterial small subunit ribosomal RNA", at positions 15 to 518 of the family's 1533-position model. The record is from RNAcentral.